This 97-nucleotide ribosomal RNA is filed under the name Escherichia coli. Lineage: Bacteria; Pseudomonadati; Pseudomonadota; Gammaproteobacteria; Enterobacterales; Enterobacteriaceae. The record is from RNAcentral.
UGGUCCCACCUGACCCCAUGCCGAACUCAGAAGUGAAACGCCGUAGCGCCGAUGGUAGUGUGGGGUCUCCUCAUGCGAGAGUAGGGAACUGCCAGGC